AUUGAACGCUGGCGGCGUGCCUAACACAUGCAAGUCGAGCGGUAACAGGUGUAGCAAUACAUGCUGACGAGCGGCGAACGGGUGAGUAAUGCUUUGGAAUCUUCCCAGUAGUGGGGAAUAACCAGUCGAAAGAUUGGCUAAUACCGCAUACGUCUGUAAAGGGAAAGCGGGGGACUCGCCUCUUCUUCGGAAGAGAGGCCUCGCGCUAUUGGAUGAGCCAAAGCGGAUUAGCUAGUUGGUGGGGUAAUGGCCUACCAAGGCGACAAUCCGUAGCUGGUCUGAGAGGACGACCAGCCACACCGGAACUGAGACACGGUCCGGACUCCUACGGGAGGCAGCAGUGGGGAAUAUUGGACAAUGGGGAAACCCUGAUCCAGCGACGCCGCGUGUGUGAAGAAGGCCUGCGGGUUGUAAAGCACUUUUAGUGGGGACAAAAGCUACGGAUUAAUACUCUGUGGUCUUGAUUCAACCUACAGAAAAGCACCGGCUAACUCUGUGCCAGCC
This 504-nucleotide ribosomal RNA is filed under the name uncultured bacterium. Its description in RNAcentral is "bacterial SSU rRNA". It matches the Rfam family "Bacterial small subunit ribosomal RNA", at positions 30 to 513 of the family's 1533-position model. The record is from RNAcentral.